UACGUAGGGGGCAAGCGUUAUCCGGAUUUACUGGGUGUAAAGGGUGCGUAGGCGGAGUGUCAAGUCAGCGGUAAAAUUUCGGGGCUCAACCCCGUCGUGCCGUUGAAACUGACACCCUUGAGUGAGUGAGAAGUAAGCGGAAUGCGCGGUGUAGCGGUGAAAUGCUUAGAUAUCGCGCAGAACUCCGAUUGCGAAGGCAGCAUGCCGGCUCCACACUGACGCUGAGGCACGAAAGCGUGGGUAUCGAACAGG
RNAcentral lists this ribosomal RNA (252 nucleotides) under uncultured Bacteroidales bacterium. RNAcentral's name for it is "partial 16S ribosomal RNA". It matches the Rfam family "Bacterial small subunit ribosomal RNA", at positions 524 to 776 of the family's 1533-position model. The record is from RNAcentral. Lineage: Bacteria; Pseudomonadati; Bacteroidota; Bacteroidia; Bacteroidales.